RNAcentral lists this ribosomal RNA (473 nucleotides) under uncultured Sphingobacteriales bacterium. Its description in RNAcentral is "bacterial SSU rRNA". It matches the Rfam family "Bacterial small subunit ribosomal RNA", at positions 901 to 1382 of the family's 1533-position model. The record is from RNAcentral. Lineage: Bacteria; Pseudomonadati; Bacteroidota; Sphingobacteriia; Sphingobacteriales.
UCAAAUGAAUUGACGGGGCCCGCACAAGCGGAGGAACAUGUGGUUUAAUUCGAUGAUACGCGAGGAACCUUACCUGGGCUUAAAUGUAGAGUGCAUGAUGUGGAAACAUGUCUUCCCUUCGGGGCUCUCUGCAAGGUGCUGCAUGGUUGUCGUCAGCUCGUGCCGUGAGGUGUCGGGUUAAGUCCCAUAACGAGCGCAACCCUUGCCAUUAGUUGCUACGAAAGGGCACUCUAAUGGGACUGCCGGUGACAAACCGGAGGAAGGUGGGGAUGACGUCAAGUCCUCAUGGCCCUUAUAGGUGGGGCUACACACGUCAUACAAUGGCCGGUACAGAGGGUAGCCAACCCGCGAGGGGGAGCCAAUCCCACAAAGCCGGUCGUAGUCCGGAUCGCAGUCUGCAACUCGACUGCGUGAAGUCGGAAUCGCUAGUAAUCGCGGAUCAGCAUGUCGCGGUGAAUACGUUCCCGGGUCUU